UUUUGGAGAUGACGAAUUUUAUCAGAGGCUGUUUCUGAGGUGAGCCAAGAGCUCUCCAGUGCUGCAAAAGAACUGAUUUGCUGUUCUGAUCAAAAG
Molecule: small nucleolar RNA, 96 nt
Filed under: Setaria italica (foxtail millet)
Lineage: Eukaryota; Viridiplantae; Streptophyta; Magnoliopsida; Poales; Poaceae
Description: snoRNA snoZ119
Rfam family: Small nucleolar RNA Z119
About the family: Z119 is a member of the C/D class of snoRNA which contain the C (UGAUGA) and D (CUGA) box motifs. Most of the members of the box C/D family function in directing site-specific 2'-O-methylation of substrate RNAs.
Source: Rfam by way of RNAcentral